RNAcentral lists this ribosomal RNA (373 nucleotides) under uncultured bacterium. Its description in RNAcentral is "bacterial SSU rRNA". It matches the Rfam family "Bacterial small subunit ribosomal RNA", at positions 521 to 896 of the family's 1533-position model. The record is from RNAcentral.
UAAUACGAAGGUCCCAAGCGUUAUCCGGAUUUAUUGGGUUUAAAGGGUGCGUAGGCGGACUAUUAAGUCAGUGGUGAAAGCCCCCAGCCUAACUGGGGAACUGCCAUUGAUACUGAUGGUCUUGAGUACAUUUGAGGUGGGCGGAAUGUGUCAUGUAGCGGUGAAAUGCUUAGAUAUGACACAGAACACCGAUUGCGAAGGCAGCUCACUAAACUGUAACUGACGCUGAGGCACGAAAGCGUGGGGAGCAAACAGGAUUAGAUACCCUGGUAGUCCACGCCCUAAACGAUGAUCACUCGAUGUGUGCGAUACACUGUACGCGUCUGAGCGAAAGCAUUAAGUGAUCCACCUGGGGAGUACGGCCGCAAGGCUG